Long non-coding RNA from Gallus gallus (chicken), 1859 nucleotides. The record is from Ensembl. Lineage: Eukaryota; Metazoa; Chordata; Aves; Galliformes; Phasianidae.
GUUGGCCCGCCCCAUGCUGCGCGCCUGAGGGCGGCGUGGGCGCCAGAGGGGUUAUCUCGUACCCGGGGCACUUUGUGUCGGGGUGGGCAGUUGUAGAUAAGAGGCUCACAGAAGUGCCCCCCAGCCAACGUCCUAACAGGGGCCCCGGCAGGGUGUUACACCCACCAGUACAGAGCUUCUGCACGGAUAGCCAUCUGGAAAGGGAGGUACACAAGUACGGCUACCAACACUGCAGUCACAGAAAGGCAGAGAAGCAACCCUGCUUGAGGACAGCUGCAGCUUUUGCAGUCCAUCAAGACUGAAGAUCUCCAUUUGUGAUUUUAUAGCUCCAGAAAUGUCUGAAUCAUUUUCCAUGACAACUGCUGGGAAGGCUCCUGCUGAAAUGCCAAUUACCAAAACCGGAAAGAAUGCUGGCAGAUUUUCUAAGGCCAGAGCAGUGGGAGAUCAAGUCAGACUUCCUGAAGGAAACAUUUUGCACCAUGUGCAUUCACUGUUUCCCCUUCCACAGCACACUGGGAAUGCAGCAAAUCUCAUAUGCUGAUAUGCAGUGAGCAAGCAAGUCUGGAUCUGAUGCUGAAUGUGGCUGUGCUUGUCCAAACCUGCAUGGUUCUGCCAAGCCACAAAAGGCAGUGGGCUUACAUGUGCUUUUAUCUGGGGGCAAAUCUUGGGCUUUACACAUGGCUGCAUCUGAGAGGAACAAACAAACCUGAAGAUGUGAGUGGAGCUGUGGAUAUGCAUUAUGGGUUCCCCAGCUGCAAACUGAAGGAAUCUGUGAGAAAAAAAAGCAUCAUAGGUAUGAUAUAUAUAGUGCAGUAAUGCCAUUGAUUUGUAAUUCUGCUACCAUAUGGUGAGUGAUGCCAAAAGUAAAUUGAUUAUCUCUGAUAGAAGAACAAAAAAUAAAAGAGAGAGAAAAAAAAUGGUACAAAUUAAAAACAAAGCAACAAAGAUUGGUAAGGGGUCGUUUUGUGCUAAAAGAAGUGAAUGAUUUUAUUGUGACUCUUGAAUCAAAUGUUACAAGAUUGCCAAUUUUUCCCUCAGAAGAGAUCCACCUAAUCUAUUCCAAAAUCUGUUUUUAGGUUAUUUUUGAAGGUCACUUUUUUUAAUCUUCAUUUUGUGUAAAAACAAGUUCUGAUAGAUACUAUGAAGACAAAGAGAUAUCGAGAGAAAAACCUGUGCUCUUUAGCAAGAUGAUAGAAAUUCAUUAUUCACAGCUGCAUACACACAUGAUUUUAAGUUCUAACAGCCAGCAAUUAGUUUAAACAGUAAUACCACCAAGGGAAGCAUAACUUAGUUAAAAUUUACAUUUAAAUGAGAUCAUUUGGAGAAAUCAAAUGCAGAACAAUCUGUUAUUUUUAUAUAACAUUUCAUAGUAGAUUUUCUUAGUAAGGUAUUUCUCACAAUAUAGUUUUAUUACUUGCUGGUCUGAAAUUAUCAUGAUACAUUUGUACUUGUAGGGGGAAAAGAAUAUUUCAUUUACCAUUUUUUUCAUUAACAACUUGAUGCAGAAAAUUAUCUGUGUCCAAAAAAGCAUAUUAACCAAAUUUAACUUUAAGCUUAUGCUUUGUGCCUUGGAAAGCUAAGCUCAUAUGUGUGAUGCUUUUUGGUCUGUCUGCUUGUUUUGUUUUAUUCUGAACAUAAAUUGUAAUUCUAAAUGAAUUUGCUUUGUCUGCUACAGGGAUAUACGUAAUUUCUGUGCUGAAGCUCUUUGAAUUUGUGAGCUAUUUUAAUUCUUGUAACCAGUUAAGAACCAGCAUUGUUUGAUCCAGUUGUAAGACUGUGGAGACUUUUUUUGCCAGACAGAAUUAUUUUCGGAUUUAACUGUGAGCUACAAGAUUAGAAAAAAAAUGAAAAAAACCCUG